CCUUCUCAGACCGUAAUCUGGCCAGGGAGCGGACUGUUUGAAGGUAGAAGCACUAACACUCUUCCGCUUUCCUUUGACUGUGUAUCCCAGAAUGUAUGUGAUAGAUUCUAUUGACUUGUAUUAUACUUUAGCAGGUGACGAAGCAAUACUAGACAGCGUUUUGGAUUACGGGAACGAGAGUGGACUUCUAUCUCUAUCUGAAAUUCAUACAACAGACAGGCCCGAGACACCUCCGACUAACGGUAAGAAGAAGAAGAAAAGAAAAAAAAAAGUAUAAAUUUUAAAUAAAUAAGUAAAAUAAAUCUAAACCCGUCUCUCCAUUUUGUAGAGUGCAAACCAGAACCCGCUCACAAGGUGGACAAGGCUACUUGUACCAGCGAAGACGGUGUCUACCCGCUACUCGUCAUACCCGACACGCCAGAAAAGCAAGGCAGACAACCGGCUAACACUAAAGAAGCUGACACUGACGGAGGACCAUCUGGAUCCAAAAUUAGCAUACCAGAAGCACCAGAGAAAGCAGUGACUGACGACUCCAGGCCAUACCCCAGACUGAAGCAUUCCACUAGAAGAAGCGGCAGGAGGAAUACGAGGAGAUCAGCUUCAGGACGUCGGGGUCUAUCGAGAGGGAAGGUUGUGAAAACUUUUUGGAAAAUACUGACUUCUGUUUGUGAAUUGACCUCAGCGUUGACUAGGUAGAGUCGUGUGUGUUGUAAUGAUGAAUGAUCAAGGGGAAAAUUCGGUCUCGCAGUCAGCUCUGUUAUCUUUACAGUCUUCGGUCUCGCAGUCAGCUCUGUUAUCUUUACAGUCUAUGGUUGAAGUGUUAAGCGAUAUCCCUCACCCGCAAACUUUACCUCCACUGGUUGAAAUACAACAACAAUUAGAGAUUUCAAACGAGCCUCAGGCUCGCCACGAACCUUCGGAUUUACAGAAUUUGGAAAGUAUCGAUGUAGCCCUUCAGCGUUUAAGAGAAGCUCCGUCCAGUCCUCCAUCCCCCGAGCUUUUACCUCCG
Molecule: long non-coding RNA, 1009 nt
Organism: Mugil cephalus (flathead mullet)
Lineage: Eukaryota; Metazoa; Chordata; Actinopteri; Mugiliformes; Mugilidae
Exons: 3
Source: RefSeq, a predicted model, not a curated record